This 445-nucleotide ribosomal RNA is filed under the name uncultured bacterium. RNAcentral describes it as "bacterial SSU rRNA". It matches the Rfam family "Bacterial small subunit ribosomal RNA", at positions 354 to 796 of the family's 1533-position model. The record is from RNAcentral.
GUAGGGAAUAUUGGGCAAUGGAUGCAAGUCUGACCCAGCCAUGCCGCGUGGAGGAAGAAGGUCCUCUGGAUUGUAAACUCCUUUUUUGGGGGAAGGAUAGUUCUCUUGCGAGGGAAUGUGACGGUACCCUAAGAAUAAGCCACGGCUAACUACGUGCCAGCAGCCGCGGUAAUACGUAGGUGGCAAGCGUUGUCCGGAUUUAUUGGGUUUAAAGGGUGCGUAGGUGGUUUGAUAAGUCAGUGGUGAAAGCUGGUUGCUCAACAAUCAAGUUGCCAUUGAUACUGUCGGACUUGAGAGAAGUGGAGGUUCAUGGAAUGGAUGGUGUAGCGGUGAAAUGCAUAGAUAUCAUCCAGAACGUCGAUUGCGAAGGCAGUGGGCUGUACUUUAUCUGACACUGAGGCACGAAAGUGUGGGGAUCAAACAGGAUUAGAUACCCGGGUAGUCC